GACUCUUUGGCUCAGUGGUAGAGCAUCUGAUUCCAGUAGAAGCUUGGUUUCCAGAAGGUCGUCCGUUCGAUCCGGGCAAGAGUCA
Mycena latifolia is the source of this 85-nucleotide non-coding RNA. The record is from the annotation of a GenBank genome assembly. Lineage: Eukaryota; Fungi; Basidiomycota; Agaricomycetes; Agaricales; Mycenaceae.